Molecule: long non-coding RNA, 1889 nt
Organism: Mizuhopecten yessoensis (Yesso scallop)
Lineage: Eukaryota; Metazoa; Mollusca; Bivalvia; Pectinida; Pectinidae
Exons: 3
Source: RefSeq, a predicted model, not a curated record
GCAUGGUAUUUCAGUGAGAUAGUAAUAUAAAGUCGGCUUCAGAUCUGCGCUAUCACAAGGAGGCAAGCACAACCACAUACCCUGCCUCAUGUAGACACUACACAUAUGAAUGAACGUCCUUAAAUGGCAUUAGCUGUUAAUAGGAUGUUAAAACUAAACUAAACCAAACAGGUUUUAUUGUUUGAUGGUUUGUAGUUCACAUGUUUGAUUGUAAGAAGGUGUGUUACUUACAUUUGUAACUUGUACUUGUACGAAUACAGUGUUUUAUUGGCGUUUUGAGAUACCAAUUGUGAUUAUCACAGGUUGGCUCGUCAAAUGCACUGUAUUCAGUGUCAAUUUAAAUGAAAGAGUUAGGUUAUAUUUUUUCAUUUGUAAGUGUGUACGUACAAGUUUGUGUAUUGCAUGAGUUAAAAACAGGUGUGUCUUAUAUGUUUGUAGAUUACUUACUCGUUCGUAAAUGUAUUAAUUAUGCAGAUUACAUUUGUGCAUUGUGUUCAGUAGCUUUUGAUGCAAGUAUGUGUAAUGCAUGGUUCAGGGAAAUAUAUUGGAUUUAUGUAAUAGGAAGAUAUCAAAUAUAUGUAUGAAAUGUGAAUGUUAUAUAUAUAUUAUAUACUGAACGGUAUAAGCACAUGCAUAUUAAUAUGACUGUUGAAACACGUUAGACGGUGUGGCAAAACUGUUUAUCUAUAAAUUUCAUUCUAUUAUUUAUUUCGGAAAAAAAUAUUUGUUGACAAAGAAAGACUACUGGUGUGGCUAGCAGGAAAAUUGUGAAAUAACAAAUAGCUUAUCAAGUGCAAUGUGCAAUUUUCUGUUGAUUGCAAGUAUGUUUGUCAUGAACCAGAAUAGUGUUGUACAUUUGUGUGCGAUUUUGAUACACUAUAUUCUAGCUUCACGUGCAAUAUGAAUAUUAGUACAUAUAAAGUGUAUGGAGUUGUGUUAAAUACAGUAGAUUCAUAGUUGACAAUUUGAUAAUGACAAACACUAUAUCAGACAAAGUGAUGCAAGGAAAAUGAGCGGAAAGGAUUACGGCACCCUUAGUUGCCCCGACAACUAAAUGGCUGUAUCUGGAGAAGUCACUGAUGACUCAGAUUUCCUUAUCGAGACAUGACAACAUCAUGGUACUAAAGCGGAAUAACAGGACAUCUUAAAGUAGGUACGACGGAAGGGAGGUAAUCAGAAGUUGUUCUUGAGCAUGGAGCAUCUUGUAGUUUGUGUGGUAUUAAUAACAGCUAACGUGGAGCUAACAUGGAGCUUCUUGUAGUUUGUGUGGUAUUAAGAACAGCUAACGCCGUGGUUAGGACCAACACUUCCGUGACAAAGUGACUAGAAAUACAUUUCGUUUCUUUAUAUUUUAAUUAAGUGGAGUUAGGUAGACGUAUUUACUAAGUAUGCGUUUGAUCGUGCAGAGUUAGGGUAUUGUAGGCUCUUACCUGUAUAGAGAUGUUACCUGUAUACGUCAUCGACGAGAUUGUUACACAACAGGACGGACGCAUUACAUUUUGCUCCGUAAUUUUUUAACAAGACUGAAGAUUUUUUGUAAAUUUUUAAAAUAGCGUGUUUCUUUAGUGUUUAUGGAAUUUUCAGUAGUUAGUAAAAGGAUGUUUUUACUGUUUUUAUUUUUGUAGCUAAUGAUGAAAUUUGUUUCGGAGAAUCUUAUUGUUACUUGUUCAGGAACAGUUUCCUACCAGGAUCUACUUGGGAGAGCGUCAGAGGACUUUCAGCGUGUGGACUUUUAAAGGCGUGUUAUUAAGUGGUCACUGGACGUGUUGAGUUUUUCAAUCAAGAUCAAUUAAUUUUCGGUUUUGAGAUGUCGGGUAAUUUCAUUAUACCAUUUAUUGUACAACCAAUCAUUUAAAAUAUAACCCAAUGUUACCAUCGUGAUAUGCUAA